UACGUAGGGGGCUAGCGUUGUCCGGAUUUAUUGGGCGUAAAGAGCGUGUAGGCGGCCAGGUAGGUCUGGUGUGAAAACUCGAGGCUUAACCGGGGAAAUGCGCGUGAUACUGGCGGGCUUGAGUUCGGGAGGGGUGAAUGGAACUCCAGGUGGAGCGGUGAAAUGCGUAGAUAUCUGGAGGAACACCGGUGGCGAAAGCGGUUCACUGGCCCGACACUGACACUGAGGUGCGAAAGCUAGGGUAGCAAACGGG
This 253-nucleotide ribosomal RNA is filed under the name uncultured bacterium. RNAcentral's name for it is "partial 16S ribosomal RNA". It matches the Rfam family "Bacterial small subunit ribosomal RNA", at positions 524 to 776 of the family's 1533-position model. The record is from RNAcentral.